RNAcentral lists this long non-coding RNA (225 nucleotides) under Elaeis guineensis (African oil palm). Its description in RNAcentral is "long non-coding RNA (EGUI_LNC022739)". The record is from RNAcentral. Lineage: Eukaryota; Viridiplantae; Streptophyta; Magnoliopsida; Arecales; Arecaceae.
CCUUCUUCAUGUAUUUUGCAGGGAAACCAUUAGAGCUAAGUGGAUAACAAUAGAGAAAAAUUACUAGAAAUAAACAUGUUUAUGAUCCAACCUGUCAUAUAAAUAUAAAUUAAUAGGACCUAAAUGGAAAUUGGACCUGAUUUUAUUAAUCAAGAAAAGAUAGCCGACUUGAUCAACCAAAUGGAGUGACCGAUUUGAAUCCAUCUCAAAAUCCUAGACCCAAGU